RNAcentral lists this ribosomal RNA (354 nucleotides) under uncultured Aurantimonas sp. Its description in RNAcentral is "bacterial SSU rRNA". It matches the Rfam family "Bacterial small subunit ribosomal RNA", at positions 505 to 859 of the family's 1533-position model. The record is from RNAcentral. Lineage: Bacteria; Pseudomonadati; Pseudomonadota; Alphaproteobacteria; Hyphomicrobiales; Aurantimonadaceae.
GUGCCAGCAGCUGCGGUAAUACGAAGGGGGCUAGCGUUGUUCGGAAUUACUGGGCGUAAAGCGCACGUAGGCGGAUAUUUAAGUCAGGGGUGAAAUCCCGGGGCUCAACCCCGGAACUGCCUUUGAUACUGGAUAUCUCGAGUCCGGAAGAGGUGAGUGGAAUUGCGAGUGUAGAGGUGAAAUUCGUAGAUAUUCGCAGGAACACCAGUGGCGAAGGCGGCUCACUGGUCCGGUACUGACGCUGAGGUGCGAAAGCGUGGGAGCAAACAGGAUUAGAUACCCUGGUAGUCCACGCGUAAACGAUGAUAGCUAGCCGUCGGGUUGCGAUGCAAAUUCGGUGGCGCAGUUAACGCA